AGUCACGACGCAUAUCAAUAAGCGGAGGAAAAGAAACCAACAGGGAUUGCCCCAGUAACGGCGAGUGAAGCGGCAACAGCUCAAAUUUGAAAUCUGGCCCCUCCGGGUCCGAGUUGUAAUUUGUAGAGGAUGCUUUUGGUGAGGUGCCGCCCGAGUUCCCUGGAACGGGACGCCACAGAGGGUGAGAGCCCCGUCUGGCUGGCCACCGAGCCUCUGUAAAGCUCCUUCGACGAGUCGAGUAGUUUGGGAAUGCUGCUCAAAAUGGGAGGUAUAUGUCUUCUAAAGCUAAAUAUUGGCCAGAGACCGAUAGCGCACAAGUAGAGUGAUCGAAAGAUGAAAAGCACCUUGAAAAGAGGGUUAAACAGUACGUGAAAUUGUUGAAAGGGAAGCGCUUGUGACCAGACUUGGGCGCGGCGGAUCAUCCGGGGUUCUCUCCGGUGCACUUCGCCGCGUUCAGGCCAGCAUCAGUUCGUCGCGGGGGAAAAAGGCUUCGGGAACGUGGCUCCUCCGGGAGUGUUAUAGCCCGUUGCAUAAUACCCUGCGGUGGACUGAGGACCGCGCAUCUGCAAGGAUGCGGCGUAAGGUC
Molecule: ribosomal RNA, 586 nt
Filed under: Trichoderma sp. GWG1(2)
Lineage: Eukaryota; Fungi; Ascomycota; Sordariomycetes; Hypocreales; Hypocreaceae
Description: eukaryotic LSU rRNA
Rfam family: Eukaryotic large subunit ribosomal RNA
Source: RNAcentral